Molecule: ribosomal RNA, 255 nt
Filed under: uncultured prokaryote
Description: partial 16S ribosomal RNA
Rfam family: Bacterial small subunit ribosomal RNA
Source: RNAcentral
UACGCAGGGUGCGAGCGUUGUCCGGAAUUACUGGGCGUAAAGAGCUCGUAGGUGGUUUGUCGCAUCGUCUGUGAAAUUCCGGGGCUUAACUUCGGGCGUGCAGGCGAUACGGGCAAUACUUGAGUGCUGUAGGGGAGACUGGAAUUCCUGGUGUAGCGGUGAAAUGCGCAGAUAUCAGGAGGAACACCGAUGGCGAAGGCAGGUCUCUGGGCCACUACUGACGCUGAGAAGCGAAAGCAUGGGGAGCGAACAGGA